RNAcentral lists this ribosomal RNA (376 nucleotides) under uncultured organism. RNAcentral describes it as "partial 16S ribosomal RNA". It matches the Rfam family "Bacterial small subunit ribosomal RNA", at positions 527 to 896 of the family's 1533-position model. The record is from RNAcentral.
GUAGGGUGCGAGCGUUGUCCGGAUUUAUUGGGCGUAAAGGGCUCGUAGGUGGUUGAUCGCGUCGGAAGUGUAAUCUUGGGGCUUAACCCUGAGCGUGCUUUCGAUACGGGUUGACUUGAGGAAGGUAGGGGAGAAUGGAAUUCCUGGUGGAGCGGUGGAAUGCGCAGAUAUCAGGAGGAACACCAGUGGCGAAGGCGGUUCUCUGGGCCUUUCCUGACGCUGAGGAGCGAAAGCGUGGGGAGCGAACAGGGCUUAGAUACCCUGGUAGUCCACGCUGUAAACGGUGGGUACUAGGUGUGGGGUCCCAUUCCCACGGGUUCCGUGCCGUAGCUAACGCUUCAAGUACCCCCGCCUGGGGAGUACGGCCGCAAGGCUA